This 453-nucleotide ribosomal RNA is filed under the name uncultured organism. RNAcentral's name for it is "partial 16S ribosomal RNA". It matches the Rfam family "Bacterial small subunit ribosomal RNA", at positions 331 to 800 of the family's 1533-position model. The record is from RNAcentral.
GUACACUCCUGCGGGAGGCAGCAGUGGGGAAUAUUGGACAAUGGGCGCAAGCCUGAUCCAGCCAUGCCGCGUGAGUGAUGAAGGCCCUAGGGUUGUAAAGCUCUUUCACCGGUGAAGAUAAUGACGGUAACCGGAGAAGAAGCCCCGGCUAACUUCGUGCCAGCAGCCGCGGUAAUACGAAGGGGGCUAGCGUUGUUCGGAUUUACUGGGCGUAAAGCGCACGUAGGCGGACUAUUAAGUCAGGGGUGAAAUCCCGGGGCUCAACCCCGGAACUGCCUUUGAUACUGGUCGUCUUGAGUUCGAGAGAGGUGAGUGGAAUUCCGGGUGUAGAGGUGAAAUUCGUAGAUAUUCGGAGGAACACCAGUGGCGAAGGCGGCUCACUGGCUCGAUACUGACGCUGAGGUGCGAAAGCGUGGGGAGCAAACAGGAUUAGAUACCCCUGUAGUCCCAUGA